This 254-nucleotide ribosomal RNA is filed under the name uncultured bacterium. RNAcentral's name for it is "partial 16S ribosomal RNA". It matches the Rfam family "Bacterial small subunit ribosomal RNA", at positions 524 to 776 of the family's 1533-position model. The record is from RNAcentral.
UACAGAGGGGGCAAGCGUUGUUCGGAAUCACUGGGCGUAAAGGGUGCGUAGGCGGGUCUUUUAAGUCAGGGGUGAAAUCCUGGAGCUCAACUCCAGAACUGCCUUUGAUACUGAAGAUCUUGAGUUCGAGAGAGGUGAGUGGAACUGCGAGUGUAGAGGUGAAAUUCGUAGAUAUUCGCAAGAACACCAGUGGCGAAGGCGGCUCACUGGCCCGAUACUGACGCUGAGGCACGAAAGCGUGGGGAGCAAACAGG